RNAcentral lists this long non-coding RNA (771 nucleotides) under Capsicum annuum. RNAcentral describes it as "long non-coding RNA (CANN_LNC010818)". Lineage: Eukaryota; Viridiplantae; Streptophyta; Magnoliopsida; Solanales; Solanaceae. The record is from RNAcentral.
AGGCAGCAAAUGAAGGGAACCGAAUUCAGCUGAGGAAAGUGAAAUCGGAGGCAAAUAAAGCAGAAAAUGAGGAUGGAAGUGACGGAAAUGAGAGAAAUCGAAUUCAGCUGAAAAAAGUGAAAUCAGGCGAGAAUCAGGCCGAAAAUGAGGAUGAAAGUGAUGGAAAUGACGGGAAUGGCAUUCACCUGCGGAAAGUGAAAUCAGGCGCGAAUAAGUUAGAAAAUGAGGACGGAACCGAUGGAAAUGAGGGGGAUCGAGUUCACCUGAGGAAAGUGAAAUCAGGCGCGAAUAAGGCAGAAAACGAGGAUGAUGGAAAUGAGGGGGAUCGAGUUCACCUGAGGAAAGUGAAAUCAGGCGCGAAUAAGGCAGAAAACGAGGAUGAUGGAAAAGAGGGGAAUCGCGUUCACCUGAGGAAAGUGAAAUCAGGCGUGAAUAAGUUAGAGAAUGAGGAUGAUGGAAAAGAAGGGAAUCGUGUUCACCUGAGGAAAGUGAAAUCAGGCGCGAAUAAGGCAGAAAACGAGGAUGAUGGAAAUGAGGGGGAUCGAGUUCACCUGAGGAAAGUGAAAUCAGGCGCGAAUAAGGCAGAAAACGAGGAUGAUGGAAAUGAGGGGAAUCGAGUUCACCUGAGGAAAGUGAAAUCAGGUGCGAAUAAGUUAGAAAAUGAGGAUGAUGGAAAAGAGGGGAAUCGCGUUCAGCCAAGGAAAGUGAAAUCAGGCGCGAAUAAGGCGGCAAAUGAGGAUGGAAAUGUGCUAGUGAAAACAAAAUCAGAGA